AUGAACGCUGGCGGCGUGCUUAACACAUGCAAGUCGAACGGUGAAAGAGAGCUUGCUCUCUGGAUCAGUGGCGAACGGGUGAGUAACACGUGAGCAAUCUGCCCCUGACUCUGGGAUAAGCGCUGGAAACGGCGUCUAAUACCGGAUACGAGCUGCGAAGGCAUCUUCAGCAGCUGGAAAGAACUUCGGUCAGGGAUGAGCUCGCGGCCUAUCAGCUAGUUGGUGAGGUAAUGGCUCACCAAGGCGUCGACGGGUAGCCGGCCUGAGAGGGUGACCGGCCACACUGGGACUGAGACACGGCCCAGACUCCUACGGGAGGCAGCAGUGGGGAAUAUUGCACAAUGGGCGCAAGCCUGAUGCAGCAACGCCGCGUGAGGGACGACGGCCUUCGGGUUGUAAACCUCUUUUAGCAGGGAAGAAGCGAAAGUGACGGUACCUGCAGAAAAAGCA
This 450-nucleotide ribosomal RNA is filed under the name bacterium Ellin5069. RNAcentral describes it as "bacterial SSU rRNA". It matches the Rfam family "Bacterial small subunit ribosomal RNA", at positions 29 to 492 of the family's 1533-position model. Lineage: Bacteria; Bacillati; Actinomycetota; Actinomycetes; Micrococcales; Microbacteriaceae. The record is from RNAcentral.